UACAGAGGGUGCGAGCGUUAAUCGGAAUUACUGGGCGUAAAGCGUGCGUAGACGGCUAUCUAAGUCGGGUGUGAAAGCUCCGGGCUCAACCUGGGAAUUGCAUUCGAGACUGAAUAGCUAGGGUACGGUAGAGGGAAGUGGAAUUUCGGGUGUAGCGGUGAAAUGCGUAGAUAUCGGAAGGAACAUCAGUGGCGAAAGCGACUUCCUGGACCAGUACCGACGUUCAGGCACGAAAGCGUGGGGAGCAAACAGG
This 253-nucleotide ribosomal RNA is filed under the name uncultured bacterium. Its description in RNAcentral is "partial 16S ribosomal RNA". It matches the Rfam family "Bacterial small subunit ribosomal RNA", at positions 524 to 776 of the family's 1533-position model. The record is from RNAcentral.